Molecule: transfer RNA, 76 nt
Filed under: Nocardiopsis alba
Lineage: Bacteria; Bacillati; Actinomycetota; Actinomycetes; Streptosporangiales; Nocardiopsidaceae
Also listed under: 2 other names
Description: tRNA-Arg
Rfam family: tRNA
About the family: Transfer RNA (tRNA) molecules are approximately 80 nucleotides in length.
Source: RNAcentral
GCACCCGUAGCUCAGUGGAUAGAGCACCGGACUUCUAAUCCGACGGCCGCAGGUUCGAAUCCUGCCGGGUGCGCCA